RNAcentral lists this ribosomal RNA (210 nucleotides) under Clostridioides difficile. Its description in RNAcentral is "partial 23S ribosomal RNA". It matches the Rfam family "Bacterial large subunit ribosomal RNA", at positions 1354 to 1560 of the family's 2925-position model. Lineage: Bacteria; Bacillati; Bacillota; Clostridia; Peptostreptococcales; Peptostreptococcaceae. The record is from RNAcentral.
CCAGGGGAAGGUUCGUCCGCCCUGGGUUAGUCGGGACCUAAGCUGAGGCCGAAAGGCGUAGGUGAUGGACAACAGGUUGAUAUUCCUGUACUACCGAUAACCAUUUGAGAGAAGGGAUGACACAGUAGGAUAAGCUAAGCACACUGUUGGUUAUGUGUGCCCAAGCAUUGAGGCAGUCAAAGUAGGCAAAUCCGCUUUGAUAAUGCUGGG